GCCAGGCGUGGUGGUGCACGCCUGUAAUCCCAGCUACUCGGGAGGCUGAGGCAAGAGAAUCACUUGAACUCAGGGGGCAGAGGUUCCAGUGAGCUGAGAUCACGCCACUGCACUCCAGCCUGGGUGACAGAGUGAGACCCUGUCUCAA
Unclassified non-coding RNA from Papio anubis (olive baboon), 148 nucleotides. It matches the Rfam family "Metazoan signal recognition particle RNA". Rfam says of the family: The signal recognition particle (SRP) is a universally conserved ribonucleoprotein. It is involved in the co-translational targeting of proteins to membranes. The eukaryotic SRP consists of a 300-nucleotide 7S RNA and six proteins: SRPs 72, 68, 54, 19, 14, and 9. The record is from Ensembl. NCBI's taxonomy places the organism in Eukaryota, Metazoa, Chordata, Mammalia, Primates, Cercopithecidae.